This is a long non-coding RNA of Pteropus alecto (black flying fox), 4488 nucleotides long. RefSeq lists it as uncharacterized. The record is from RefSeq and is a predicted model, not a curated record. NCBI's taxonomy places the organism in Eukaryota, Metazoa, Chordata, Mammalia, Chiroptera, Pteropodidae. The transcript has 2 exons.
UUAUAUUUUUUGAAGGUGGGACAGGAAGGGUUGCAUAAACGACCCAUGUAAAUCAAGUCCUACUGUGGAGAUUUUGUGUGGUUUUAUUUUGAAGUUUUAAUUUGAAUGGCUCCUUGUGUAAUGCAGAUGAUCAGUACAGUCAGUACGAAUGGCCGAGCCAGGAGGGUACCACAGCAGGUGCACUGGAAUUAUCUGACAUUCGCUGUCAUACUGAAAACUGUGUUGCCCCAUCUUAAUGGGAAUUUUACCAAGAACCUUGUCUCAGUCCUGGGGUGGUAUGUUUCUCAGUGAACAUACACCUGCCUGCACUAUCAUCUCCCAUGUUGGCUGUACACAGCUUUCAGUGGGAGGCCUUUCAUCCAAGGAGUUAGUCCUGUUUGUAUAUAUUCAAGGGCAGAAAUGUCCACGCCAUUGGAACUGGAAGGCAGGUGGUCCUGUGUCCCCAGAUCCAUGAGUAUGAUAACGCAACCUCUCCCAAGAUGGAUUUGGUGAAGCAGGAUAAAGUCUGCUUGGCAUGUGGAUGCUGCUGGUUGGCUGGGCUCCAACAUUAGCUUAGGUGACUCACUGCCUCACAUGGUCACUUUAGGGUCACUGACUUAGGUCAUAUGGCUGCAACAUUUUAGACUGUCUUAUGCUCUGGACCAAGCAUGACCAUUAAGACUGAACAGGAGAUGGCAGUUUGACAUUAAUAUUUAUUCCCGAGUCCCGGUCUAAUGCAGUGCCCAGCAUGUGGAGAAACGUGUGAGAUGACCACGGAAGUGGUGGACAUUGGCUUGGAAUUGAGAAGGCUGUGGAAGGCUGAUGGUCAAGUUGGGUUUUCUAGAUUAGGGGAUGAUGUGAACAAGUAACUGGAGGCCUUGCAAGCGCUCGCUUACGUGACGGGAGUCAGGGUGUAAAGGGAGCCUUGGGGUUCUCUGGAGAGACGGAGGUGGGUGCUCCGAAGGAGCUGAUCCUUGUCGGUGACAGGAAACUAGUGACAUAACUUUUUUUAGACACGUGAGCCCCCAGUUUGGAGCUCCUAUAUUCAAAUAAAAAAGGACAAUGAUAAUAAUUUCUUGUAAAUCUUGUCCUUUUGUUAGUUUUCUACUUCAGGAAGUUUGUAUUCUCCUUGUUAUUCAGUUUGCUAUAGUGACUUUUUUCUCAAUUGCUUCAAACUUUGAUGUUUUUAAUAUGCUUUCAUUGAGAUUCUGAGAUCUAUCAUACUAUUACUUUGAUUUUAAACAGGAUCUUCUGUUCCUUGCCAUUUCAAAUUCACUAAAAUAUCUUUGUUUCAUGAUUUCAUCUGUGCGCUCUUUUUAUGAAAUUUAUGUUCUUUUGAGCUGUUCUGUGACCUCAGAUGGUUGUGAGGGGUUUCGUUCCAUGUUUUCUUGUUUUGUGACAGUACGUUCACCUGGCCGCGGGCCACUUCUCCGUUCGUUUGUCCCGCACGGCUCUGCACUUGCUCUGAUACGAUACAGCGACCUUCGCUUCCCCUGCGCCCAUCUGACGCCAAUGUGCUUUCCCUCCCGCGAGCAGGAGGCUCUGUUUUGUCCUGAAGUCGCGUUACAUGCACCUUACGAAAGGUCCUUUCAGCUGGGCGUACCUGGGCUUUCCACCGUCGCUGCGGGGAUCUAAUCCUGCGUCACGGCUAUUUUUCCAGAGCCUUUUCUGUCAGCUCCAGUAUCUCUGGAAUUUCCCUAACAGCCAUUUCAACUAGACCCAUCAAGAACAGACACUCAGUUGCCCCUUUGCAGAUGCGGAUUUUGUGCCUCCAUCUGGCCUCGGGGGAUGGGCAGGUCAGCUGGGAGGCUGUCCUGCCCUCUGCGAUUCUGCAGCUCCCAUGGGGGCAGGGAGCACAGGGGACACUGCGGGCAGGCUCAGAACAUGGGCCUCUAUGUGGGGGUGGGGAGAGUGGCAGUGAGUGAGAAUGUGGCAUCAGAAGCAGGAGUUUUGGGCGUGUAAGUUAUUUAAAAGGAUAGUAGUUUUUUUUUAGGACUAAUAAUACCAGUGAGGAAUCCGAACUGAAUUUCUGCCAGAAUGCUAAUGACUCCAGAGACGCACAGAACACUGAGCUUUGAAGAGCUUCUGAGAAACACACAGAGACCAAGCUCUGCUGAGCUGGGGUGGAAAUCAGCUGUGCGGUUUCUAGCACGUGCCCCAGACUUCUGAAGUUUCUCACUGUCUGAUUUGUCCAGGAUCCUAAGGCAGAAAAGUCAGGGUCCAAGGCCCCUGGUUCCCAGCCUGUGAGCUGGAGACAUCUCCAUGGAUCCAAGAGGGCGGUGGUGUAGGACGAGCUGAACACGCCCUCCUGUGAGCAAGUGCAAGUGUGCAGGGCAGCCACUCCCGUGAGACAGCUGAGGGCGCAAUGAAGAGCUUCCGACCAACAAACGAGCGGGGCGGGGGAGGCCGGGAGCCCCCUCGUUCACGUCCCCUCCACUUUGACGGGGGAGGGAGCUUUUCGGGUGCUUGGCCCCCCCGCAGCAUCACUGCAGUACAUCCCCAGCCGCACCACCCGCAGCCUCCUGCCUCUGAACAGGGCGUGAGUGGGAACAGCGCACCUGGACCUCCGACCCGAGAGCCACCCCCCCAGCUUGGCCAGCCAGUGCCCGGGCGCCCACGCAGCUCCAGCCGGCUUCUUCCAAACGCCCGGCACAGAGAGGAACACACCAGCAACCUCGAAGACUAGUGGAAACAAACCGAUGAGAACAGCGAAAAGAAGAAUCUAACAGACGCGGACAGUUUAAGGGAACGCUCUCUGGGAUAACAUCAAGUGCUCGAACAUUCGUGUUAUAGGGAUCCCAGAAGGAGAAGAAAAAAAGGAACAGAAACUUUAUUUAGAGAUAUAAUGGCUGAAAACUUUCCUCACCUGGGGAAGGAAACAGACACCCAGGUCCAAGAAACACGGAGAGUUCCAAACAAGAUGAACCCAAAGAGACCUCUGCACCAAGACAUGUCAUAACGAAAAUGACAAGAGUCAAAGAGAAGGAGAAUCCUGAAGGAAGCACGAGGAGAGUUACGCGCAGUGGACACCCGGGAAGGCCGCCAGCUGACUUCUCGAAUUUACAGCCAGAAGGGGGUCAGAUGGGGGUGGCAGGACACCGUUAAAGCGCUGGAAGAAAGGAACGUACCGAACGUACCACCUGCAGUAACUGGACCCCUCCAGGUGAUCGUUCCCAACUGAAGGAGAAAGAGUCCAGAAGCAGCAAAAUUAAAGGCGCUCAUUACCAUGAAACCAGCUUCACACAACACGCUCAAGGGUCCUCUUUAAGCAGAAAAGGAAGGCCAUGUAAAACCAAACGGGUAACAAAUCCAGUGCAUUAGACAUUUUAAAAGCUGCUUAUCAGGUUCAAAUAGACUACCAUAGAUGCAGAACGACAUCCACAGACCUCAAGGUAACCACGCACCGAAACCUGUGAAAAAUAGACAAAGAAUUAAGAGAAAGGAACCCAAACAAAACACUACAGAAAAACAGCAAACCCCAAAGGAAGACAUCAAGAGAAAAAAGGAAUGGAGGAAACUGAAAAAACCACCAAAAACCAAUGAAUGAAAUGGUAAUAAGUACAAUAAUUACUUGGAAUGUAAAUAGGUCAAAUGUUUCAAUAAAAACACAUAGGGUGGCUGAAUGGAUUUAAAAGCAUGACCUGUCAUGCUGCUUACCAGACUCACUUCAAAUCGAACUUCAUAUAUGGCCUGAAAGUGAAGGGAUGGAUGAAGAUAUUCCACGCAAACAAAUGAAAAGAAAGCGGGGCAGCAGUACUCAGCCACUCACAUCAGACAAAACAGGCUUUAAAACGGGAAAUGUCGAAAAGCAUUACGUAGUUAUAAAGGGCUCCAUCUAGACACAGAUGUAAUAAUCGUAAAUCUCCACACACCCAAUACGAGAGCACCGAAAUCCAUAAAGCAGUUAUUACUGGACAUAAAGGGAGAGAUCCGCAGGAUUACAGUAAUAGUGAAUUCUGAUACUGAUACCCCACUCACAUCAAUGAAUAAUUCUCGGCCAAAAAUUAAUGGCUUUAAAUGUCACUUUAGAUAAACUUAAUGGACAUUAUAGCACAUUUCACCCCAAAAACUGCAGGAUACACGUUCUUUUCAAGUGCACAGGAAACGUUCUCCAGGACAGAUCACAUAUUAGGCCACAGAACAAGCCUCAGUAAAUUUAAGAAGACUGAAAUCAUAUCAAGCAUAUUUUCUGAUGACAGUGGCAUGAAACUAGAAAACUACAGGAAGAAAACUGAAAAAGAAUCCACAAAUACGUGGAGAGUAAACAUGGAAGGGAUCAAUCACGAAAUCAAAACCUACCUCGAAACAAAUGAAAUGAAAACACAACUUUUAAAAAAUGUAUGUGAUGCAGCAACAGCAGUUCUGAGAAGGAAGUUCACAGGUAAGCUAUACAGGCCCACCUGGACAAACAAAUGUCAAAUAAGUAGUCUGACUCUACACCUAAAGGAACUAGAAAAAGCAGAGUUGAAAUAAAACUGAAAAAAAAAAAAAACAAUUAAAAUAACAGCU